This 253-nucleotide ribosomal RNA is filed under the name uncultured bacterium. RNAcentral describes it as "partial 16S ribosomal RNA". It matches the Rfam family "Bacterial small subunit ribosomal RNA", at positions 524 to 776 of the family's 1533-position model. The record is from RNAcentral.
UACGUAGGGUCCGAGCGUUGUCCGGAAUUAUUGGGCGUAAAGAGCUCGUAGGCGGUUUGUCGCGUCGAAUGUGAAAACCCGGGGCUCAACCCCGGGCCUGCAUUCGAUACGGGCAGACUAGAGUUCGGUAGGGGAGUCUGGAAUUCCUGGUGUAGCGGUGAAAUGCGCAGAUAUCAGGAGGAACACCGGUGGCGAAGGCGGGUCUCUGGGCCGAUACUGACGCUGAGGAGCGAAAGCGUGGGGAGCGAACAGG